CGGACGGGUGAGUAACGCGUGAGAAUCUGCCCUCAGGAGGGGGAUAACGGCCGGAAACGGCCGCUAAUACCCCAUAUGCCGAGAGGUGAAAUGAAUUUCGCCUGAGGAUGAGCCCGCGUCUGAUUAGCUAGUUGGUGUGGUAAUGGCGCACCAAGGCGACGAUCAGUAGCUGGUCUGAGAGGAUGAUCAGCCACACUGGGACUGAGACACGGCCCAUACUCCUACGGGAGGCAGCAGUGUGGAAUUUUCCGCAAUGGGCGAAAGCCUGACGGAGCAACGCCGCGUGAGGGAUGAAGGCCUCUGGGCUGUAAACCUCUUUUCUCAAGGAAGAAGACAUGACGGUACUUGAGGAAUAAGCCACGGCUAAUUCCGUGCCAGCAGCCGCGGUAAUACGGGAGUGGCAAGCGUUAUCCGGAAUUAUUGGGCGUAAAGCGUCCGCAGGCGGCCUUGUAAGUCUGUCGUUAAAGCGUGGAGCUUAACUCCAUUUCAGCGAUGGAAACUACAAGGCUUGAGUGUGGUAGGGGCAGAGGGAAUUCCCGGUGUAGCGGUGAAAUGCGUAGAUAUCGGGAAGAACACCAGUGGCGAAGGCGCUCUGCUGGGCCAUAACUGACGCUCAUGGACGAAAGCCAGGGGAGCGAAAGGGAUUAGAUACCCCUGUAGUC
RNAcentral lists this ribosomal RNA (662 nucleotides) under uncultured Cyanobacterium sp. RNAcentral's name for it is "bacterial SSU rRNA". It matches the Rfam family "Bacterial small subunit ribosomal RNA", at positions 99 to 795 of the family's 1533-position model. Lineage: Bacteria; Bacillati; Cyanobacteriota; Cyanophyceae; Chroococcales; Geminocystaceae. The record is from RNAcentral.